RNAcentral lists this ribosomal RNA (940 nucleotides) under Aspicilia epiglypta. RNAcentral describes it as "partial small subunit ribosomal RNA". It matches the Rfam family "Bacterial small subunit ribosomal RNA", at positions 354 to 1207 of the family's 1533-position model. The record is from RNAcentral. Lineage: Eukaryota; Fungi; Ascomycota; Lecanoromycetes; Pertusariales; Megasporaceae.
UUGGAGNAUGUAUAGCGAAAGCUAGUUGUAUUAACUUCGACUAGUUCGAGGUUAAUGCAGCAUCGACCAUGUCGAAUAAAGUUCUAGGUAGAGUUAUGAUAAUGACAUUUUCUACCUAUGUGUCUUGACCAAGUCACGUGCCAGCAGUCGCGGUAAUACGUGGAAGACUAGUGUUAUUCAUCUUUAAUAGGUUUAAAGGGUACUUAGACGGUAAAUUUAGCCCAAAUAAAAACAAAGGGUACUAAUAAUACUAGAGUUUAAUGAGAGGGGGUGCGUACCAAUGGUGUAGAGAUGAAAUUCUGUCAUACCAUGAUGACGGGCAACGGCGAAAGCAACCCUUUAUGUAAAAACUGACGUUAAAGGACGAAGGCUUUGUGUCACCAACAGGAUUAGAUACCCAAGCAGUCUUAGCAGACAAUUCUGAAUGCCAUAGAUACGGAAAAAAAAAUAUUAUCUUUUUAUUAUAAAAAUAAAAAUAAAAAAAAAAUAAAAAUAAAAAUAAAAAAUAAAAAGAAAAAAUAAAAAUAUUACCUUUUUUUCUAAAAAUAAAAAAGGUAAAUAUUACCUUUUUAUUCAAUCUCUUUUUUUGUGAAGAUAAGAUAAGAAAAUAAUAAUAAAGGAUAUUCUUUGUCUAUAAAUGAAAGUGUAAGCAUUCCACCUCAAGAGUAAUGUGGCAACGCAGAAACUGAAAUCAUUAGACCGUUUCUGAAACCAGUAGUGAAGUAUGUUGUUUAAUUUGAUGGUCCGCACAAAACCUUACCACAAUUUGUAUAUUAUUAGCUUAGUACAAGAGUUGCACGGCUGUCUUCAGUUAAUGUCGUGAGAUUUGGUUAGUUCCAUAAAAUUAACGUAAACCCUUACUUUAUUUAUAUUAUAAAGUAGUUCACCGCUAUAUUGGAUAUGAUAAAAGGGACUAAGACAAGUCAUCAUGGCCUGAUAU